GUGGAUAAGGCAGCACAAACUGCUGUAUUUCUGGCAUGUCCUGCCCUCAACCUUGCUUGUGAUUUUCAUUCUAAAUUUCAUGUAAAUUCUAAAACAUUAGCCUCUCGCUUUGGGAUCACCUGAGCAGAGGCCAGGGAGAUUGUCAAGGCCUGUCAGGCCUGCAUUCCUUUAUUACCUCAACCCUCCUUUGGCGUUAACUCACGAGGGAUACUCCCCCUACACGUUUAGCAGAUGGAUAUAACUCAUUUUGCCGAAUUUGGAAAAUUACAGUUUGUUCAUGUUUCAAUUGAUACUGCCUCUGGAGUCAUUUUUGCUUCUUUGUAUACUGGAGAAAAUGCCCAUCAUGUCAUAGCUCAUUGCUUUGAAGCAUGGGGUACUUGGGGUCAACCCAAAGAAUUAAAAUCUGAUAAUGGCCCUACUUAUACUUCCAAUACUUUUGUUAGCUUUUGUAAGGUGAUGGGCGUUCAUCUUGUACAUGGUGUUCCCUAUAACCCUCAGGGGCAGGGAAUAAUUGAACGUGCUCAUCGUACCUUAAAAGAAUGCUUAAAAAACAAAAAGGGGGAAUUGCCCUAGGGGUGACUCCCCGGGAACACCUUUCUAUAGCCUUAUUUACUCUUAAUUUUUUAAAUAAAGAUAAAUUUGAUUGUACUGCUGCAUAGAGAUUCAGUAAUCCUGAUGCAUCUCAGAAGGGAACUAUUAUGUGGAAGGACGUGUUGGAUGGCCAAUGUCAUGGGCCAGAUCCAGUGUUGGUGUGGGCGAGAGGGUCUGUUUGUGUGUUUCCCCAGGACCGCUGCCAGCCAUUGUGCGUACCUGAAUGACUGACUUGAGUGCUGAAGGAUGACCAGAGGUGUGAUGCUGAUUCUCCUGGGAAUAUUGAUGAUGGUGACAGGGUGCAGGAGUGAGGAGCUACAAUGGGGCAUCAUGUCGGUGUUUCCAAAGCUGCUACCCUUGACCCAUUCCACUCAAGUGUUUCCUCGUUUCUUUACCUCCAAUGCAUCUUUACAGGUACCCUUUUUACCUGAUGAUGAAGGAGUGGCACCGGUGACUGAACCUCUCCAGCUUGCCCUGCGAGGGGUAUUAUGCUUUCAUCUUAUUGUAAAUAUUUCUCAAAAUAGUGUGUGUGUGCAAUUGUAUAAUCAGACUGCUGCACGGUUUGAUAGACCUUUUUAAUAGUUCAACCCGAGCUAAUGCUACUUGGAUCAGAGGAACUUGGCCUGCGAGCAUACCUAAGGGUAAUGCUAGCAUUCUACCCCAACCAUGCUGGGCCCCGUUUUGCAGAGGCUUACGAGACUCUUGCCUCCAUGGACUGAAUGUCAAUCCCAAAAGGCCACUUGGGCAGUGAAAAAAUAUUUUACCUUUUUUCCAUACAUCAGUACCACGCAUAAUCAAAUGUUUGCAGGUUAUAAUUGGACAUAUCAAAGCACGGCACAGUGAAGGGCUAAUAAUCCUCUUAAUGUAUGGUUGUUAUGUGGGGUAAGUGGAAGCUGUACUGAUUUGUCACCUCUAAGUAUACUGAUGGGAGGGGGAUGGGGAAAUGCUAGUUUUUAUUGGAACGGGUCUGAUUUGUUUUAAAAUUCUGUGAAUGUUUUGGCUUUGAGAAAAAAUAUGUCUUUUGUGCCUACACCUGUGUGUAUUUGGCCCCCUUUUGUGUUUUUAGUAUAUAAUGAUAGUUAUGAUAAUGAGUUUAUUAAUCAUAGUAGUGAUAAUUGCUUUUAUAGUAUGUAUUGGAAUGCAUCUGUAUUUUCCUUGGCUGUGGUAACCCGUAUGCCUAGAUUUGUACCCUGGCCAGUGCAAGCUCCAUCUGUUAUGACACUGUUUAGACCUAAAAGAGAUUUUGAGAUUACUGCUGCCAUAGUCACAGCAAUAUCGCACCUCAAGGAACAGGCUGGCAUAGGAGGCUGGCAAUCAUCUGCAUUGCCACAGGAAUAAUGUCCCUGUGGUGCAUUUGCCAUAUGCAAAAAAAGGCAUACCCAUGCGCAGGCACUGUUGAAUCAGGCUUUUGCAGCCCUAGAGCUGGGACAAUCUUCUCAAGUGUGGCUUGGCAUGCUAGAGAAGUAGUCAAUGACGGGUAAGACUCCCUGGAGGUGUUACCAACCUAAGACAGGGACCAGACCACUGCUGUCGGUCCUCCCGAUGACGGGUAAGGAGCAUUAUCACAGGGGGCAACCUAAGACAGGCAUUCUCUCUGCCAAAAUAAUAAAUAAGGGGGAGAUGUGAGGAGCAGGUGUGGCCACCACCCCAAGAUGGCACCUGGGACAGCUGCCAGGUCUUAUAACCUGCGUCUGACUUCCUCAUUAUCUCAGACUUAGCCACAUCCCAGCCGCCUGCACUGUACAGAUGCCAUGCCUCGUCAGUUCGCCUGAGGUGUCCUCACUUGCUGUGAACCUAUGGACUGCUGUUAUGUGACUGGGGUGAUUGGGAGGAGUCAGUAGGGUAUUUAAGGCAUGCCCCAUGGUUGUUCGAGAAAUUCCUGUUCCUGCAUUGCAAUGCUAAGUGUUCCUGAAUAAACCUGCUUGAAGAAGGACAAU
Molecule: long non-coding RNA, 2528 nt
Filed under: Mus musculus (house mouse)
Lineage: Eukaryota; Metazoa; Chordata; Mammalia; Rodentia; Muridae
Description: long non-coding RNA chr10:38060833-38063361
Source: RNAcentral